GACGAACGCUGGCGGCGUGCCUAAUACAUGCAAGUCGAACGCUGAAGGAGGAGCUUGCUCUUCUGGAUGAGUUGCGCACGGGUGAGUAACGCGUAGGUAACCUGCCUGGUAGCGGGGGAUAACUAUUGGAAACGAUAGCUAAUACCGCAUAACAGUAGAUGUUGCAUGACAUUUGCUUAAAAGGUGCAAUUGCAUCACUACCAGAUGGACCUGCGUUGUAUUAGCUAGUUGGUGGGGUAACGGCUCACCAAGGCGACGAUACAUAGCCGACCUGCGAGGGUGAACCGCCAAACUGGGAAUGAGAAACGGCCCAGGAUUCUAAGGGAGGGAGCAGGAGGGGAACUUCGGCAAUGGGCGGAAGGCUGACCGAGCAAAGGCGGGGGAGGGAAGAAGGGUUUCGGGUCGUAAAGCUCGGUUGUAAGAGAAGAAAGAGUGGGGGAGGGGAAAGUUCACACUGUGACGGUAUCUUACCAGAAAGGGACGGCUAACUACGUG
RNAcentral lists this ribosomal RNA (495 nucleotides) under uncultured bacterium. RNAcentral describes it as "partial 16S ribosomal RNA". It matches the Rfam family "Bacterial small subunit ribosomal RNA", at positions 28 to 507 of the family's 1533-position model. The record is from RNAcentral.